AGAGUUUGAUCAUGGCUCAGGACGAACGCUGGCGGCGUGCUUAACACAUGCAAGUCGAGCGGUAAGGCCCUUCGGGGUACACGAGCGGCGAACGGGUGAGUAACACGUGGGUGACCUGCCUCAGCUCUGGGAUAAGCCUGGGAAACUGGGUCUAAUACCGGAUAUUCACAUUCUCUCGCAUGGGGGUGUGUGGAAAGUUUUUUCGGCUGGGGAUGGGCCCGCGGCCUAUCAGCUUGUUGGUGGGGUGAUGGCCUACCAAGGCGACGACGGGUAGCCGGCCUGAGAGGGCGACCGGCCACACUGGGACUGAGACACGGCCCAGACUCCUACGGGAGGCAGCAGUGGGGAAUAUUGCGCAAUGGGCGGAAGCCUGACGCAGCGACGCCGCGUGGGGGAUGACGGCCUUCGGGUUGUAAACCUCUUUCGACCGGGACGAAGAGUGAUUGACGGUACCGGUAGAAGAAGCACCGGCCAACUACGUGCCAGCAGCCGCGGUAACACGUAGGGUGCGAGCGUUGUCCGGAAUUAUUGGGCGUAAAGAGCUCGUAGGCGGUGUGUCGCGUCGGCCGUGAAAACCUGGGGCUUAACUCUGGGCUUGCGGUCGAUACGGGCAUCACUUGAGUUCGGCAGGGGAGACUGGAAUUCCUGGUGUAGCGGUGAAAUGCGCAGAUAUCGGAGGAACACCGGUGGCGAAGGCGGGUCUCUGGGCCGAUACUGACGCUGAGGAGCGAAAGCGUGGGGAGCGAACAGGAUUAGAUACCCUAGUAGUCC
This 771-nucleotide ribosomal RNA is filed under the name uncultured bacterium. RNAcentral's name for it is "bacterial SSU rRNA". It matches the Rfam family "Bacterial small subunit ribosomal RNA", at positions 8 to 796 of the family's 1533-position model. The record is from RNAcentral.